Molecule: ribosomal RNA, 539 nt
Filed under: Blastocystis sp.
Lineage: Eukaryota; Bigyra; Opalinata; Blastocystidae
Description: SSU rRNA
Rfam family: Eukaryotic small subunit ribosomal RNA
Source: RNAcentral
UAUAAAUAAUUCUACUUUGAAACUGCGAAUGGCUCAUUAUAUCAGUUAUAGUUUAUUAGAAAUAAUUUACUACUUGGAUAACCGUAGUAAUUCUAGGGCUAAUACAUGAGUAAAUCCUCGACUUUGAAGAGGUGUGUUUAUUAGUAUGAAAACCAUAUGCUUUUGCAUAAUAGUGAGUAAUAAUAACCUUUCAUAUCGUAUGUUGUAAUAACGAUAGUUCUUUCAAGUUUCUGCCCUAUCAGCUUUCGAUGGUAGUGCAUUGGACUACCAUGGCAGUAACGGGUAACGAAGAAUUUGGGUUCGAUUUCGGAGAGGGAGCCUGAAAGAUGGCUACCACAUCCAAGGAAGGCAGCAGGCGCGUAAAUUACCCAAUCCUGACAUAGGGAGGUAGUGACAAUAAAUCACAAUGCGGGACUUUUAGUUUUGCAAUUGGAUUGAGAACAAUGUAAAAGAGUUAUCGAUAAACAAUUGGAGGGCAAGUCUGGUGCCAGCAGCCGCGGUAAUUCCAGCUCCAAUAGCGUAUAUUAACGUUGUUGCAG